Molecule: ribosomal RNA, 468 nt
Filed under: uncultured bacterium
Lineage: Bacteria
Description: partial 16S ribosomal RNA
Rfam family: Bacterial small subunit ribosomal RNA
Source: RNAcentral
GACGAACGCUGGCGGCGUGCUUAACACAUGCAAGUCGAACGGAAAGGCCCUGCUUUUGUGGGGUGCUCGAGUGGCGAACGGGUGAGUAACACGUGAGUAACCUGCCCUUGACUUUGGGAUAACUUCAGGAAACUGGGGCUAAUACCGGAUAGGAGCUCCUGCUGCAGGGUGGGGGUUGGAAAGUUUCGGCGGUUGGGGAUGGACUCGCGGCUUAUCAGCUUGUUGGUGGGGUAGUGGCUUACCAAGGCUUUGACGGGUAGCCGGCCUGAGAGGGUGACCGGCCACAUUGGGACUGAGAUACGGCCCAGACUCCUACGGGAGGCAGCAGUGGGGAAUAUUGCACAAUGGGCGGAAGCCUGAUGCAGCAACGCCGCGUGCGGGAUGACGGCCUUCGGGUUGUAAACCGCUUUCGCCUGUGACGAAGCGUGAGUGACGGUAAUGUGUAAAGAAGCACCGGCUAACUACGUG